Molecule: long non-coding RNA, 24373 nt
Filed under: Ananas comosus (pineapple)
Lineage: Eukaryota; Viridiplantae; Streptophyta; Magnoliopsida; Poales; Bromeliaceae
Description: long non-coding RNA (ACOM_LNC031186)
Source: RNAcentral
AAAUUUAAGCUUUGAAGUUGGUAUUGUAAUGUAAAAUUUUAAUUUCAAAAUUAUAUUAAACUUUUAAAUUUUGAAUCUACAUUGCAUUUUUAAUCUAAAAGCCAAAUUUUAAUUUUUAAUUUAAAUUAAAAUUUUGAAUUUGAACUGAAAGUUUUAUUUUAAAUUUGUGUUUUAUAUUUAAAAGUUGAAUUUGAUUUAUAAUUAAGUUUUUUAUGUUGCCUUGUAUUUAAAUUUACAGUUUAGUUGUAAUUUGAAUUCCAACUAUUGUUAUAGGUAUUUGAGAAAGUUAUAGUAUUCUUAGGCUUCAUUUGGGAUUGCGGGGAGAUUGUGUUACGUGCGGUCAAAAAGUACGUUAAAAAAAUACCUUGUUUGUUUCCGUACGUAAUAUUACGUUCCGCAUAUCGAGAUGAGUCGGUUAUGAUAUAUUUUCUGCGGUCCCACCGGAGAACGCAGAAAUAUAUCACUAUAUGCGAUAGAUAGGCCUCAAUACCAAACUAAGCCUUCGGCUUCGUUUUUUACUCAACUCCAUUUUAACUAAUAGCAUUAGAUAGGCCUCAAUACCAAACUAAGCCUUAGGCUUCGUUUGGGAUUGCGGAAAAAUUGCGUUACAUGCGGUGAGAAACGACGAUGAAAAAAUACCCUGUUUUCGUACGUAAUAUUGCGUUCCGUAUAUUGCGGUUAAUCGGUUACAAUAUAUUUUCUGCGGUCCCAUCAGAGAACGCAGAAGCAUAUCCCUAUAUGCAUUUUUCUCAACUCCAUUUUAUCUAAUAGCGUUAGAUAGGCCUGAAUAUCAAACUAAGCCUUAUUAGUUGGAUAAAACCAAUUUGGUAGACCAAAAUAUUUUUCUAAGACCAAAAUGCCUUUUAAAUAGAUACCGGGUGAAUGGUACCUAAACCAGAAUAGUAGGUCGCCUUUAGAAUCAUAUUACAUCUCAACCAUCUAUUUAAAAAAAUAAAUGGUCAAAAUUUACAUGGUGUAUUAAAGUAUUACUCAAUAAAUUAAAGCAGAAUAUCAAGCUAUAUGCAAUAGCAUGAUUAGGAUUGUACACAUUUUUUUUGUGUACAGUGCAGGGUAGAAUUAAUCUUAAUAAAAUUAGGUUAAAUUACAGAAAACUCCCUGUCAAAACCUGCUUUUUCACUUCCCCCUGUAAUUUAAAAACCUACACUUUGCCCCUUUGUAAAAUAAAAAAUGUGCACUUCACCCCCUACCGUUAGGGUUCCGUUAUAACAUUUUUUUUAUGCCAAAAAUACCCUUCCGCCCCUCUUUCCUGUUGCUUCGAUGGCUUCCGGGACGGUGCCCUCGCCGGCCUCGCCCUCCUCCACGAGCUCAACCUCCUCUUCGACCGCCCUCUCGACGCCAUCUUCCUCAACUCCAACCGCCUCCGCCGCCGCCGCCCCAUCCCCGCCAACCUCGGCGACUCCCCGAACUCCAUCGCCGUCCUCGCCCACAACAAACUCGGCGGCUGCUUCCCGCCUUCCAUCGGCCGCAUGGCCGACACCCUCAACGAGAUCGUCCUCCUCGACGACGGCCUCGCCGCCUGUGUCCCGCCCGAGGUCGGCCUCCUCCGCCGCGAAUGAGAAGGAUGAGGGAGAAAACGAAAAUGGCGAAGGGCAAAAUGAUCAUUUUGUCACACCAUACCCCUCUGUGAAUAUUUUUUAUUUUACAAGGGGGUAAAGUGUAGGUUUUUAAAUGACAAGGGGGGAAAGUAAAAAAAUGGGUUUUGACAGAGGGGUUUUCUGUAAUUUAGCCAAAAAAUUAUAUCAUGUCUAUGUACAAUAUUUUUAAGAUUGGAUUCAGUACCCAUAUUCCAUCAAUAAUAACUCUUAGUCUGUCAAUAUUACUAUCUUUUUUAUAUCCUUACCUUAAUUAGAUAUGAACUCAGGGACUAAAAUGUAGAGCGCACAGAAAUUAAAAGUAGGCUAAAUUAUAAAAAAUCUACUUACACUUUAGUCCCGUUCUCAAUUAUCCUUUUGUAUUAAAAAUUACAUCAGUUACCAUCAUAAACUUUAUCAUCGUCUCAAAUAGAUCCAAAAAAAAUAAAAAAUUGGCAAAUUAGGCUGAAGAAUUUACUAAAUUGAGUUAUACAUAUCAUAUUAUUCCAUAUCUCAACAUAUAUCUAAUUUACAAUUCAAAUAAUAUAUAAAAAAGUUAGAUAAAGGAGAUUUCCUAUUUUUGCUAAUACUAUCAACAGUGAUAAUUUGUUGAGCAAUUUAUGCAAUUUACAUAAUUUAAUUGCGUUGCUUAAUUAUAGAUAAUUUUAUCUGCAAAUGUCUUUUUAUAAAAUUUUAUAGCUAAAUUCAAGUAAUGACAAAAGCCAAACAAGAAAAAAGAAUCCUGCUUCUUCAAGUAUGGAACACCAAAGCGAAUCGAAAAACGGAGAAAAAUAAGCACAAAAGCAAUUUAUGUUGUUGACGAGCAUGUCUCUCUCAGAAAACCCUAAUCCCUCAAAAUACAACCCAAUCCUUUCGCUCGUAACAAGAAUCCGCGAAAUAAGAAGUAUAAAUACAUGAAAGGGAUAAGUGUCCAUCUAUUCCUCAAAACUUUGAAAAUAUCUAAUUUAUCCCUACUUUUCUUUUGUUUUAAAUAUACCAUUCAUACGUUCCUUAUUAUUCAAAAAUGCUCCCAUAAUUAUCACUCAUUAAGUCAUCUCGACUUAAACAUAAGGUAAAUAUCUAUCAAAAUUAAAAAAAUCAAAAUACGGCUUUUGCCCUUAACUUAAGGACAAAUAAGAAAAAUUAGUGAUGGUAGAAUGAUAUAUUUAAAAGACAAAAAAAUUAAAAUACUUUUUUUGCCCCCAACUUAAGGACAAAUAAAAAAAAUUGGUAAUGGCAUAAUGAUAUAUUUAGAAGGGCAAAAUAGUAAUUUUAUACAAAUAAUAACGGUUGCUAACAGUUUACUAAUAAAAUUUAACUUUAGGGGUAUGUUUGAAAUAACUUGGAACGUUAAAAGAGUACUUAUAAUAUCAGCCUUCUAAAAUAGAUAAAUCAGAAAGUUUGAAACUUUUCAGAGAUAUAUAAGUAAUUGCCCCUACACGAAAAAGUUACCCUCAUUUUUACCCUCCCUCUCACUCUUUAGUAUUGAACAAGGUAAAACAUAUUAACAAUUCAACACAAACAAGAUCUGUUUGAUUAAGAAAAAAAGAAAAGGGGGAAAAUUAAAUAGAAAAGGGAAAUUUUUAAAAAUAGUAUAUAUAAACUUUCAAAAAGCCCUUUUUUCCCCACAUUAUCUCAUACAUGCAUGUAUUACCACAAACUAUGUGCCCUAACACUAGCUUAAGCUUUAGCCAGAUAAUUGUACUGUUGAGGAAACUAUUUUACAUUUUUUUUUUCCUAUUUAAGUCGAAAUUUCUAACCAAAAUGUGUGAAGAAGGAUUGCCCAUGUCUCAUGAAGUUGUAAUUCAGCUCGCCCGGUUUCGCGGUCUUUUGCCUGUGGAGAACAUUAAUCAUACAGGGAAAAAAAAAAAUAAAAGUUUAGAUACAUUUAGAGAAAAAUCCAAGCAUUAGUUGUAACACCCAAAAAAUUCAAGCAAAAAGGUGUCGAAAGUAGAAAACAUUCUCAAAGACUUUUUGAGAAUCUGAACAAGAUUUUGAGGUCAAUUUGAACAAAAUUGAGUCAAAUUGACACUUUGAAUAUGAACUAGAAGUCAAUUAACUGAGUUAAAUAUCAUGUUUAAAUAUGUGAGUCGUUUUAUAAACAUAUAAUUACACAAGUAUGCUCAAUAUUGAUGCCAGGCAUACUUAAGCUCUACAGCAGUUGCAUCCCUGAUCCUCGAGAUGCUUCCGCUAUCGGGACGCUGCAUUAGUCGUAAUCUUUACAAGAUUGCUGUAAGGGAAAAGUAUGCCUGACCCUCCUGGACUUUGGCCCAACUAGAUUUAGUCACUCAGAACUUUAUAUACUAGAAAGAACUAUGUGAACUUUUAACUAGUUUCAAUUAAGAAAAACUAACGAAAUUUUGGGGGUUGAUGUUUGUGUAAUUUUUCUUUACUUUUUCGAAGUUCGGGCAGCUAAAUGUAAUCGAGUAAUUCCACCGGUCCAGCACGCUUUUCCCAUUGCAAAAUUAAAAAGCCAAAAAUUCUCAGAUAAGUAGAGUGUAUUCAUACCACAUCUGAUCUUCUAACAUUUCUUCAGUGAAACCAAAUGCUCUAAGCUCCUCGACGGUAUGAUGCACAAGGAGGCUGUACCUGUAAUCAUAGUAAAAGGAUCACUAUGUAGGAUUAACACAUGUACUUCCUUUUCAACUUAAUUUAUCCAUCCUUAACUUGCAGAUCAGUUUCCUACACUAAUCAAGUGUCUAAUGAAACUAAACAAAUCAAAAAGACUAAGAAUAAGAACGAAAUAAAAAUGUUAAAGACCUGAAGAGAUCAGAACAUUAAAAACUACAUACACAGUUUAGCAUGUUUGCACUGAACUUAACUAACCUGUAGUUACUGUUCCCUUACUACUAAUCUAUUGUUAAUGGAAAAUGUCGCGGUAUAACCAUAAGAUAGUUAAUUGCAACACAUGAAGCUGCAGGGAAACGAGGUGCAGCAUGUGAAGUUCAGAAAGAACUUCGUAAAAGCCAACGAGUGCUGAAGCAGAGCAGAAAAGGGACUGUCUCUGCUAGGAUUAGUGCUUUCAGAUUGAAUGUGCAAUCAACAGCAUAUUAAUAGACCAACCAAGAAGUCUCAUGUGAAUAUUUAUCAUAUUAUCAAAGCCCCAGUAGUAUACAUGGAUAAGUAAGUCGACUCCUUUCGGAGGAACUUACGAUGCUUACACAUGAAAUGCACAAACAAAUUCACAGAAAAUUACAUGUUUCCAACUCCAACGACGAGGAGAAAAGACUAACUGCUGUUAAUGAAAUGCUAGCUGUUAUAUUUAGGGAGAGUUAUCUGCAAUAUGGCCAAAAAUAUGAGAACCAAAGUGCAAUAAAAUCGUCAAAUCCAUAUAAAGCAGGAAAUGGUUACCUGCCGCCAUUCCCUGUUUGCAUAACCAACAUUCCACCAUUAUCGAAAUUAUUCAACCCCUCGAACUGCUCCACGGUCCACUUGUACCACCUCAUCAAGAAAACUCUUAGCGUCAAUCCAUGCGAUACGAGAACGAUGUUCAUGUUCGGUGAUCUUUUGCCAGGUGGCUGAAACCGACCUAUAUCAAUAUCUGCUUUAAGGGUCUCCCUAAAGCCUGUAGCAGUAACACUGCAUAAAUAUGAAGCUAUACCUCUUAGAGGAACAGGUCAAGUGUGUUAGAGAACGAAUACGACUAUCGUGCACGCUAGGAUAGCCCGUGGUUUAUUAAAAAGCUUAUUACCUGUUAUUCGGUCGUAUACGUCAGCAGCCGAUUCUCCAUUUGGAAAACGGUAGAAAAAACGACCAUAUCGCUGGCGGGUUUCUUUCUCGACUCGCAUCUUCUCCCUGUCUUGAAAAUUUCCUAUAUCACAUACAGGGGCAGAGAGCAGAACUCUUAGUAAGAGAGCCGUGAAGAGUAACAGAUUAUCUGAAAAAGUCAUUAGGCUUUCUGUAAUGGAAUACUUCUUAAACAUUAGCAGAUCUUCUCAGAAUCUACAGGAAUACAUGCCCUCGCAUUAAUGCUGCACUGCUAUGCUGCGCACUCGUGUGAUCAAUGUGCCGCACAAUGACUACAGCAAUAAAUCACCAAUUUAAUGCAUUUUAGUAGAUAUAAGCCGAUUAGUUACAACAUGUCGGCUACUAAAUAGCAAGGAUUUAAGUGUCACGUCAUAGGAUCGUGCCGAAAAUUUGCUGGCACGAUACGCCGCAGUGAGUGCCAUGCUAUGCCAAUGUGUUUCAGUCUUAAAAAAAACCCAUAUAUCAAAGCAUAAUGGCAUGAAAUAUUUAUUAUUUUUGGCACUAGUAUAUUAUAUUUGCUUAUUAUAUAUAUUUAUCAAAUCUUUUGAACUUUAUUGAAGUAACUACUUGCUAAUUUUAAAGAAAAUAGGGCUGAGCCGUGUCAUUGGAACAAGGAUCGUAUCGUACCGAUACCUUGUCUGUUGGGACUUAGGAUCGUCCUGCAUGUUCUAUCAACAAAAAUACACGAACAAAGAAAUAGGAAAAAAUAAUAGAAAGAAAAUAUACAGAAAAAAAGAGACAGCGAUUUACGUGGUUCGGCAAGUGGCCUACGUCCACGGGGAGAGCGAGAGAGAUGUAUCCUUUAUAUGAAGAAAACAAAAAUACAAGCCCACACCUUUAUGUUUCUCUCAAUCUAAUACAAGAGCCUUAUGGUUACUACCACCCUUCUCUUGUUACAACAAAUAAGAGAAACUCAACAAGCUACUAAUUAAGUUUCUAGACUUCUCCUAAUACCUCACUUAAUUCACUCGUUGCUUGUGCUUCAUCUUGUUGUCUAAAUCUGUGGAGUGAGAAGCCUUAUAUAGCCAUACAAGUAGUUGCACAAUGGAAGUUGGCAACUUCAAUUGUCAACUCCUUAAUUAGCCUAUCUAUAGGCUUUUUGACAAUUGGGUAAACUUGUGUUUCAUGCAUGCAUGCAUGAAACACAGGCAUGCAUGCAUGAAACACAGGCAUAUAUACUUCUCUGCCCAAUGAAAGUCUUGUAUUCAUACUUUGAAUAGUUCGGUAGACCCUGUGCGCCAUAAAUCAACUUUCAUAUUUAUGUCUCUUUUGCAUAUUAGUCCAAAAAACCUUAUGGGCCAAACAAAUAAUUUUAUGCCCUAUACAAAAGAAGACAUAUAACCAACAUUGUCGGCAUAGUGGAUACGGUCGAUGCCACCGGGCACUUAAAUAUGCAAGGUGACACCCUCAACAAUAUCCUCUUCAAUCAAUUCAAUUUAAGUUCAGUCAUAUGAAGUCGAGAUUUCAUUAAAAUUAAUGACUUUACUAGCUAUACAGUAUGAAGCUCGAAUCCAUUGAAUUUAACAAAAUUGCUACUAAGACCAUGUUCGGAAUCGUCGAAAUCACCGUCUUAGACGGAAAUUUCAAAUCAGAAUUCAUUAAAAAUCCUUUGCUUGAAAACAGUUUGUUUGGUAUGAUAUCAGUAAGUAUAAGCAUAUUCAACGGCAUGAGGUUGGAUUUUUCAUAAUUUGCAUUUCUCACACAUCAAAAAAAAAAAAAAANAACAGUUUGUUUGGUAUGAUAUCAGUAAGUAUAAGCAUAUUCAACGGCAUGAGGUUGGAUUUUUCAUAAUUUGCAUUUCUCACACAUCAAAAAAAGAAAAAAAAAAGAAUUCUUAUCUCCAACCCCUUUAUGAGCUAUGUGACCAAGUACGAAACUCGAACCAAUCCAAUCCCAUCCAUUCCAAACAAGAGAAUUCCGCAACAAACCAAGUUACUUGAAUUAACGGAAUUACAAAUCAGUGCAAUCCAAUCAAGAUUUGAACUUAAGCCCUUUUUGGACGUCAGAAUAAGAGCGUUUAUUUUUUGCAUUUAGCCCCCUUAAACAAUUUUACUUUACGAAUAAUCUUAUAAAAAUUAAAAAUGCAGAAAUGAACCUAUAUUGUGCACAUAGGCAUCAUGCAAAAUAUUUUAAGUGAACACGGUGAUUCAUGCACUGUGUUUAGAAUAGUGUAUGGAGAAGAAGAGACAUUGAUUCAAUUUCUAGAAGUACAUUAUACAUUUGACUAAACGCAAUAAACAAAUCAUGGCGUUCUAAACACGGCGAGUGAAUCACCAUGUUCACUAAAAAUAUUUUGCAUGGCGCCUACAAGCACACUAUAGUGUCAUUUCUGCAUUCAUAAUUUUGAUAGAAUUAUCUGCAAAAAGAAUAUUUUUGAGGGGGCUAAAUGCAAAAUAAGCUCCGGGAUGAAUUAAUUUUCCUCCUUGAAAGACCUUGACAUCUAUUAACUUGGUAGGAAAACAUAUUUUACCUACGAAAUGACUUAUCUUACUCCGAAAAGGCCGAGUUUGGAUGCAUGAAUAUCUUGUUUGGUAUAUCUCCAUGAUUUAUUUAGCAGAGGCGGAGUGCGAUCAAACGUCUAAAAUUAGAUACUAUAUUCAGCCUUCAAGUCAUUUUUUCGAAUAAGAUAAAUCACCUAGUAGUAAGUGAAAUAUGCUAUUCUAUUAAAUCAUGAUGAUAUCAAGACCUUUCAAUGGGCAAAAAUCAAACUCGUUUCUAGAAAAUCCUUAUAGCGAAUGAGUUAUCCGCAGACUUUCAAACAGGGCCAGAAAUGAUUUGAAGGCUGAGUAUGGUAUAUCAUUCUAUACAUUUGACCGCGCUCCUGGUUUCCAAUUACAUUAGAAAAUCCUCGUACCGAAUAGGAUACCACAGGAUGACUUAUUCCGACAUCCAAACAAUUACAAUGAAAAUUCCUCGUAGUGAAUAGGAUGCCACAGGAUGACUUAUUCUGACAUCCAAACAAUUACAGUAAAAAAAUUUUAUAUCAAAUAUGAUAUUACUGUAUGACUUAUUUCGACAUUCAAACAAUUACAAUUACAGUAAAAAAUUCUUAUAUCAAAUAGGAUAUUACCGAAUGACUUAUUCCGACGUCCAAACAGAGUAGGGUCUCAAUCAAUUUGUUUAUGUUUUGUGACUUGAAAAUUUAGAACAUAUGAACUAGAAUUGGGGGAAAGGGGNCCGAUGCCGCAGAGCGUCUCGAGCGUGCGGCGGUAGGGGGAGACGUAGAAGUAGACCCUCCAAUCGUCGCCGGCGCCGCCGCUCUCGACGAGGCGGCGGAUGCGGCGGCCGCACUCGUCGGCGUCGCGCCAGCCCUGGGCCGUGAGCCCGAUGCGCGGGUCCGGGACGCGCGCGUACGCCGCCUCGUCGACGUUCCCCUCGCUCUGCCCGUGCCGCACCAGCACGAUCCGCCGCGGCCUCGGCGGCGCCGGCGCCAUCGCCGCCGCCGCCGCCGAGAGCGCCGCCGCCGAUCGCUCCAGCAGCUGCAACUCCGCGGCGACGGCGGCGGCGGAGAGCGGGGGUCGGCGGCGGCGGAGGCCGAGGGUGUCUUCGCAGCAGCGGAGGCGGAGGCGGAGGCGGGGGCGAGAGGAGGAGGGGAGAGGAGGAGACGAGGCUAAGGAAACCAUGAAUGUAAUAAUGCAAUGCAAAUACAAUUUUCUAUUGCGUAGAAGAAACUACUGUUCAUUUUUUUUUUUUUUUUAUUGGAAAAUUGGGGAAAAGAGAGGGGGGGGGGGGUUGGCGAAUGGUGAGUACGUGUGCGAUUGCGCGGGCGCGUGUGGUUGUGUGGUUGCGGGGUUGUGGGAGUGGAGAUCCUAUCGACACCUGGAAUAGCUGACAAACAUCGCCACGUUGCGAGCUACGUUCUACUGCAGGUGUGAAUCUUACUUUUCUAAAUGUAAGAAUUGACACCAAAAAAAAAAAAAAAAAAAAAAAACCUUACUGUUGCUAGAGCAAGUGGCAAAAGAUUUAAUUGUUGGUAUUCAAGCUCCCAAGUUCGAAUUCUAAUUCAUUCACAUUUCUAACUAUAUUUAUUUUUAAAUAAAAUAAACGAAGUGAAUAGCGUGCUACCUACCUCUCAAAAUAAGAAUUGAGCAAAAAAAAAAAAAUUUAACUAGAUUUUUUAGUAAAAACAAUUUUAAUAUGAUAAGUUAAAAAAAAAAAAAAAAAAAAUUAAUUUCGUACAGAUCCUGCCAAGUAUAGUGAAUUACAAAUAUAUUUAUACAAAGUUCAACUUUCAUAUAUUGUUUCUACAAAAGUCCUAAUAUUUUCAAAUAUGUUCUUCUGGUUUGCAACUGUUAAAGAACUGUUUAUUUUACAAGUAAAAUGGCCUUUUUGUCAUCACAAAUAUGUCUCUCGAAAAGUUCCAACUGUUAAUUAAAGAGAGAUAAAAAUGUCAAUUCAGCUCAUUAACUAAUUAGGGUUAAGUAUUUUACCUAUGAUUGGUUAACUAAUUUUUAAUAACGGACUUUAACAGUAGAGACAUAUUUGAAAACGUCAGGACUUUUGCAAAGACAAUAUAUAAAAGUUGAAAUUUGUAAAAGUAUAUUUAUAAUUUACUAUAUUAGUAUGAAUCUAAAUGAAAUUAAUCCUAAAAAAAAUAUAAAUCAAUAUAAGCAUACAGAUGUAAACCUUAUAUCCAACUUGUACGGCUAAUGUUGCUCAGAGUACAAAGUAAAUUACUCUUUCAGUCCUAAAACUAUAAAAGGAGAAUGACAUUUUAGUCUUUAAAUUUUAAAUUUGACUAAAUUACAGAAAUUUUCGUGUAAAUAUUUAUUUUUUUUCUCUUUUCUAACUUUUUAAAAAAUUUGUAUUUUAUUUUUUCAAAAUUUCAAGUUGUUGCAUUUAGUCCCACUCCGUCAGAAUUUAAUUCACUAUUUCGUUCAUGUCUUAUAAUUUAUACCGAAAAUAUUCUUCAAAAUCAUAAAAAAAAUAUAUUAAAAAAUUAUUUUUUUCUCUUAUAGAAGAAAUAAGAAAAAUGAAAUCACAUGGUACUAGCUUGAUACACUUUAAACUAUAGGAUAUUAAAGUGAGAAACUGUAAAACCACAAAGGGUAUUUGAAGUUUAUCCUAAAAUCUAUAAUGGGGGAGGGAGAGAGAGAAAAAAAAGGGCUAAAUUGCAGAAAAUCCUACUAUCAAAAUUUGAUUUUUCACUUUCCCCUCCUAUUAUUUAAAAACCUACACUUUACCCCCUUAUAAAAUAAAAAAUGUUCACUUGGGUAUGAUGUGAACUGUAGUGACAAAAUGAUCAUUUUGCUCCUCACCAUUUUGCCCCUCACCAUAUUCACAGGAGAGAAGGUUAAGGAUAUUUUUGGCAUAAAAAAUAUAUAAUAAUAUUUUAUAAACGGAACCCUAACGAAUUACUAACGGCAGGGGCAAAUUGAAUAUUUUUCAUUUUAUAAGGAGGUAAAGUGUAGAUUUUUAAAUGACAGAAAGAAAAAGUGAAAAAUCGAAUUUUGAUGUGGGGUUUUAUGUAAUUUAGCCAAAAAAAAAAAAAACAAAAAAAACAAAAGCUGGUGUCCACGUGGCGCCGGCUCACUGCAGCACCACCGAAAACGACGAGAUGUCCGGCUGCUUUUUCGCUUUCCUUCCUGAGCCAGCUGGCGCAUGGCCAUGGCCGCCUCCUCCGCCUCCUCCUCCUCCCCACUCCUCUUCCAUUUCGCCCCGGUCCGGUUCGCCGCCGCUCCGGUCCACCUCCCGGUCCGGUUCACCCCCCCGAACCGCCCCUCCUCUGCCGCCGCCGGCGCCGCCGCUCGCCGGAACCCUAUCCGGCCGGUGUCCUCCUCCGCCGCCGCCGCCGGCGCCUUCGCUACUCCGCUCAUCUCCCCCCACGACCAAUGGGGCACGUGGGCCGCCGCCUUCGCCGCCGCCGCCUUCGGGAUAUGGUCCUCCUUUUCCCCUCUCCCCCAAAUUUGUCAAAAAUGUCUAGAAUGCAUAAUUAUAUUGCUGACGUGGCAUUCACAAUCACUGGAAUUGUCCCCUUUGAAUGAGAUAUACGAUUGACUUAUUACUGAUGAUGUGGUGCAAGUAUAAUAUCGUAGACUUUCUCAAUUUGUGUAGAGCAGGUCUUAUUGCAGUCAAACUACAUCGUCUAUAAUUAGGCACUCGCUAAGCAAGUAUGGAGAAUUUGAAUUCACACAUUGUCCUUAAAAAAGGGGUCUAUGUGGAUCGUAAGCACUAACCAACUAUUACAAAAAUAUGUGCUAAUAAAAACGGUGCAUCCAUCGCACUUAAGGGCUCAACUACAGUGUUCGCAAAUUUCGACCUGAUUCAACACACCUGACCUUUUAAGUCUAUUAUUGAGCCUGUUGGCAUUAGGUUUAUUGUAGAUCGAAACCUCACUCAACUUAUUAGUCUUUUGGGUGUGUUAUUAUGGAUAGAAAAUUGAACAUAUUUUAGCCAAUAUAGAUAGCUAACAACCUACAGUGAAAUUUGUCAUGUUUGAAUGUUUUCUUAGGAUUUUCUAAGCUUCUUAAUUGAGCAGCACUUAUGAAUGAGCACUUUUUUGUCAUUCAGAAAAAUGAUUUAAAAUUAGCUCUUGGCUCUGUUAAUAACACCAUCCUUCUUUUCUGGGGUUUCUGAGUAGGUCGGAGAGGACCAAGCUGGGGAGCACAUUGAGUGGCGCGCUGGUGAGCACGCUGGUGGGCCUGGCAGCCAGCAGUGCUGGGAUCAUCCCCGCCGACGCUCCGGCAUACGGAGUGGUGUUGGAGUAUUUGCUGCUGUUGGCCGUACCGUUGCUCCUCUUCAAUGCCGACCUUCGCCGGGUGGUCCGGUCCACCGGAGCCAUGCUCUUGGCCUUUCUGAUCGGAUCGGGUAAAACUUUCGAUAGGGUACUAUGCAUGGAUGGUCGCAAACACUAGUGUCUAUUUGGUUCUACUUCUGCUUUUAGCUGUUGUACUAGUUACAUCCUGUAGAGUAAUUUAAAAUCGCAAAAGCUUAGAGCUUCUACUUUGGUGAAUGGUAGAAGACUAAAAGCAUCAUUUUUAUACUAUAUAAAAGGUUCAAAAAUUUUACAAGCGCUUUUAAUCUUUCCUUUAUUUACACUAUAAAAUUGCGGUUGCAACCGCCGCGGGAGAAGAUUGUUGGCUUUUUAUUAUUGACUAAAAUUGGUCUAACUUUCUGCCCCAUCAUAAUAGGCCUAGGAGAGUAAGGCUUUGUUUGGGAUUGCAGGGAGAUUGCGUUACGUGUGGUGAGAAAGUACGAUGGAAAAAUACCCUGCUUCUUUUCGUACGUAAUAUUGCAUUCCGUAUAUCGCGAUGAGUCGGUUAUGAUAUAUUUUCUGCAGUCUCAUCAUAGAACGCAGAAGCAUAUUCGUAUAUACUUUUAUCCCAACUUCAUUUUAUCUAAUUAUGUUAGAUGGGUCUCAAAACCAAACUAAGUCUAAUAAGUUAGAGUUGGGUGAGCUAAUAAGUUGAACGGAGUUGCAAUCCAUAAUAGAUAUAACUGCAAUAGGCCCAAUAAUAGACCUAACGUUUAGGUGGAUUAAGUCCGGUCGAAGCCAUGGCUGUAGUUGAGCCCUUACGUUCGACGGAUGCGCCCUUCCUAUUAGCAUGUAUUUUGGGGACGGUUGAUUAGUGCUUAAGAUCCAUAAACAUGUGGCUAUAUGCUUCUCCAAUGACGAUUGCGACCGCAAUUUUAAAGCAUAGAGGAAGGAAUAAUCGUAAGCACUUUUAGACUUUUUGGAUAUUUUAGAGUAUAAAAAUGGUACUUUUAGCCACCGCAUUACCAAACUAGAUCUCAAUGCUAGUAGCAAUACGAAUAAAUAUUAUGUCAAUAGAGUAAGUUCUUCUUUCAGUUGUGCCCUUAAAACGAAGCUAGGGCCGCGAUGCGAAUGCUUGUGAGUGAAUUAAGUCACAUACUAGCUGGUAUGAAGCAAGUCAUUUUGCAGGAUCAACCCCUAACCUCGGAAGCCAUUCACGGUACUUUAUGAAACAACACUACUUACAACAAGGCCAAAUAAAGAAAAAAAGAAUGAAUGAAAUAGAAUAGUUAAUCUUAAGUGGUUUAUGAGAAAACACGCAGAACGAAUUAAGAAAGAUUACAGAGGCUGUAACUGAGCUCUAUUCCAUUAGCUUUUCAUUGAGCAUGUGAGUUUUCAAUGAUUUAGCAGGAACUCUUUGAGAUGGCAAUUGAUUACUUAUUUUCCGCAUUUUAUGUUAGUUUUCAAUGAUUUCCCUUCGUUUCAAGCAUUUUAUGUUGAUCACAAAUUUUUGGAGUUCUAUUUCAUCAAUGUCCGAAAUUUGAUCCUUCAUAUGACAGUUGCAACGAUAAUUGGCACGGUCGUCGCGUAUUUAUUGAUACCGAUGAGAUCGCUAGGACAAGACAGUUGGAAGAUUGCAGCAGCACUCAUGAGUAGUUACAUCGGAGGAAGUAAGAUCAAAAGUUUUCUGUUAUUAUUGUCGGAUUGUUGGCGCUAACCAUUAAUUCCAAAAGCUCGAGCUGUUAGAAAUACGCAACCAAUUCACUUAUACAUACUUGAAUAUUGAAGAUUGAAGAUUGAAUUGAUUGCCUGUAAAAUAAAAGAUCAAACAUCAAAAAAUUUGGUUCUAUUCACAUCAUUCUUUCCAGAAAAUCUGUACAAGGCAUUCCUACUUUCAGACAAAUUAACUGAAACUGACUUCAGACUCUUGUUGCUGACCGGAAUUUACUGAAAUUUUAGACCUGAAAUGUGUUGAUUUUGGUUAGAACAUUUAUCCGAGCGAGUAGGAUUGUAUUCAUUCACUGACUAUGCUGUAAAUAUGCCACAUUUUGGUGAUCUCAAAUCGACUAAUUCGGUUGCAUCCUCUUUCUUUUUUUUAUUCUAGCCGUCAAUUUCGUUGCCGUCUCAGAAGCUCUUGGCGUUUCUCCAUCAGUUUUAGCGGCAGGGGUGGCUGUCGACAACGUCAUCUGCGCGGUAUAUUUCACAUUACUUUUUGCUUUAGCAUCUAAAGUACCACCAGAAGCUACAACUUCCACUGCAGGUGUGUUUUCCCUGCUCAAUUUCCGUCGUGUUUCAACAGUUAGGAUCAAAAAUGAUUCUGUCGCAUUACUUCGUAUCGCAGAAGUCGUGAACUUGUAAUAUGAUAGAUGCUAUGAACACUUGAGCAGGUGUUCAACUGGAUUCUGAAUCUAAGAGAGAAAACAAGUUACCUGUACUAGAAAGCGCUACGGCGAUCGCUGUAUCCUUCGCAAUCUGCAAAGUAGCUGCAUAUAUAACUAAUAAGUUGGGCACUCAGGGAGGGAUUCUCCCCUGCGUUACGGCUAUUGUGGUCGCCAUGGCGACCUUGUUUCCUUCACAGAUUGGAGCCCUCGCCCCUGCCGGUGAGGCCAUGGCUUUGAUUCUUAUGCAGGUAAAGAUUCCUCUCGUCACCGACUUAUUCUCUGCGCAUGUCCAUGCACGCACACAUACACAAUCAAACGAAAGGCGCACGUAUGCAGAUGCAUCACACUCGUACUGCACGAGUACAUAUGCACACAAUCGAGCAUACGUGCGCAAACACCAAUGCGCGGAUGCACACACAUUACGAACUGCAAAAGCGGAAAGCAUAAUGUCUACAUCGGAAUCGCAAAGUGAUUUUAGUUAACUUAUAUUUGCUCAUGUGUAACGUAACAGGUGUUCUUCGCGGUGGUGGGAGCAAACGGUAGCAUUUCAAACGCGCUCACGACGGCGCCGAGCAUCUUCUUAUUCGCGUCGGUGCAAGUGCUGGUCCAUCUUCUAGUGAUCCUAGGAGUCGGACGGCUCCUUCGGUUCGAUCUCAAGUUACUUCUCAUAGCUUCAAAUGCCAACAUCGGCGGCCCGACAACAGCUUGUGCAAUGGCGACCGCGAAAGGCUGGAGUUCCAUGAUCAUUCCCGGUAUCCUCGCAGGCAUCUUCGGAAUCGCCAUCGCGACGUUUCUGGGAAUAGGCUUUGGAUUGUUCGUUCUGAGACAUAUUUAAUGGUUUGCGAGUUUGGUUGCAAAUAGAAAUUUUGUGCAUUCCUAUUGACAUAUCAUCUUGCAAUGUAAUGCCAUAGCUUAUUUGUGCAUAAAACUUACACUGUCUAAUCAGUAUUCGAGAUACCUACCAACUGUGCUAUAGGAUAAUCUUCAAACGAACAUGUAAUGUUGAUGUCUAACUUGCGUAAAAGUAUAAGAUUUUGUUUUUCUUUUUCGCUUUGUUUCAACUUGAAAUUACUAUAUUACCCUUGAAUUGCUAUGUCACCAUCUAUGCUACAGUAGUUGGUUGGUAUGGGAGGGUCCUGAUCAAGAGGUCGGAGGUUCGAUCCUCUGCUCGCGCUUUCAGAAAAAGAGUGAUUUAAUUUAAACUCCAGUGUAUUGGAAAAAUAAAAUGGCUUAAUUAUAUUCUACUACACUGUACACUGUAUUUUAAGUUUAUUUUUAUUUUUCUACCUUAUACUAUUUUCUGUUCCCAUAGAUAUCACUAAAUUAUAUUUUCUCUCCAAUUUCUACAAUACUUUUAACAAAUCUCUUAUCUUAGACAAAAUCUAAUUUUUUAUUAAAAAAACACCGGUUAAAUGGUUAAAAAAAAUAAAAUAAUUCUCUGCAAUAGGCUCAUUAAAAGUUUCUAUUAAACUAUUUUUAAUUAUUUUUUAUGUCAAAAUGAGUUGAAUAUAUACCCUACUACUUUUAACCAGCAUUUCUAAUAACUUUUAUGUAAAAUUACAUGCUUAUUGCUUAUAGUCUAAAAAUCCAAAAAAAAAAAAAAGAAUAGUUAAGCUGGUGCUCUGCAGAAAUAAAACAAAAAACAAUAGUUCAAUAUGUAAGUGAAAAAACAAAAAAAAAAAAAACAAAAAACCCUGUAGAUUACAAUGUAGUAUAAUGUAAUUUAACCAAAUAAAAUAUGUGAAUACUCUGUAGGUUUCUUGGGUGGACCUCCAUGUUCACCCACACCCAGAAACAAAAAAAAAAAAAAAAAAAAAAAAGAAAAAAAAGGAAGAGAGAGAGAGAGAGAGAGCUCAAACUUGCUAUGAGAGAAAAAUAAAUAAUGUUCAAUUAUCCUUUUUACAAGGUUUUACAUCUCAGCUCCUCUCAAACACAACUCUUCCAGGUAAUGCCCAAAGCCAACAACAUUAGCAAUCCAAACAAAAAAAAUACUCCCCCCCCCUCAUAAAUAUCAUCUUAAGAACAAAAUUAAUACAAAAACAAGAAAAUUAAGCACCAUCACCAACAUGAGAGAAAAUUGAUUCUGCUCCUGGGAAUGGUUUGUCGAAGGAAGCCCCGAAAAGAGCAUCGCAGCGUUCGAUUCGCUGUAUCUCGUUCGUGCUUAUCCGUCGUAACCCUGUUAGUCCCACAUAGAAAGAUUAUUGAGAAAAUAAAUGAACAUAUGUCGAACCAGCUCGCCGGUAUUAAUAACUUUGAGCUUCAGCAUUUCUGAACUUACAUUUUUUUACUCAUUCUGUUCAAGUCAUUAAUACUUGGUUUGAUUAGUACUAAAAACACUACUCACACAAAUCACAGAGCUGAUGAAUCUCGGAAUUCGUGCUUUGUUCCGAUUUGUGCUUGUUCGAUGAGAUUCUGCUCCUCGGGUGUUUCUUCUUCAUCUUCGGAUUCUUCAUAAUCGGAGUCUUCUGGGGACCCUACGAUACUAUUUGGCGGCUUGUCGCCGGCAUUAAUGAGAUUUUUGAACCACGUACCAGCGAAAAGUGGGUCCGGGCUAUUUGAAUUGCUAGGGUUCUCUUCUGUCACUGGUGUAGUGUUUGAGGAUGAACCAGUGAAGAAUCUGUAGGCCACCUUGCCGGCAUUUAGAAUUUCUUCUUUGGCUUGUCUAAACUGCACUCAAAAUAGAGAAAACAGAAAAGGAUUUAUAUGAGUAGCUAGCUCAACUAAAUUGAAGCAGAAAUUUUCAAAUACAUGAUGCGUGAAGCAUAAUGUGUAAUAAAUUUGUUCCUUGGAUGCCUAAAAAUGGAUCAAUUUUCUGAAAAUUUUGAGCUGGAAGUAUGUAAGACCAAGAAUUUAAGUGCCGUGGCACGGGAUCGUGCCAGAAACUUGCCGGCACGGUACGGCACAGUGCGUGCCGAUGCGUGCCAGUCAAAAAAAUUUCCGGUCAAAAUAAUUCUUGUGUGUCAACACAUAAUAGCAUAAAAUAUUUAUUUUAUUUAGCAACAAAAUAUUCUAACUAUUUAUUAUGUCUUUUUAUCACAUCUUUUAAACUUUAUUAAGAAAAUUACUUACUAAUUUAAAGAAUAGAGGGUUUUGAACUGUGCCAUCGGCACGGGGUCUGUAUCGUGCUGGUAUCUUGUUGGCACAGUACGACACGGUGAAUACCGCCCGUGCCGACGGGCGCUUAAAACCUUGUGUAAGACUUUCAAUAUUUAUGAGUAAAAAAUCAAAAAGAAAAAAGCGUCUUCUCUAUCAGCUUAAGCUUUUGGAACACCACUUUUUUUUUUUCAUGGUAUUAGAACAGCGGGUCCGCUUAGUUCAAACUCAAAAGUCCCGGCCUCUUAAAAGAUUCAAAACUCAAAAAUGAGAGGGGGGAUGCUUAGUAUUAACAUAGUAAGAUAUCUAUCAACAGCAUUUGAUGAAAUCUGUUGUAUCACGUAGCAACUGAUGUAUAAUUGGCACCAAGGUCGGUGUCAUGAGCAUAUAGUGGGACAUGAAUAUCUGUUACUGAAUUUUUUUCCAAGAGCCUAUGUUAUUGACGACUCAAUCUCCAUUACACGAUCAAUUAUAUCUAUGUGAAAAUUCCAGUUCACAAACUGCGUAGUAUAGAAGCUAAUUAUGAUACAGCAGAAAACAGAAAAAAGGGAAGGGUGUGCCAAAAUAAUUCAGAAAUCAAAGAAGCUGAAUUUCAAACCAACCUUUGUCGCUGUAGUUUCCGCCACCUCCAUUGCCGCAUCACCAGCAUUGGCAAACCGAUUAACCCAACCUGUGAUGUCGCAACACCUGACGUUAUAAACAGUAAAACAAUUUCCCAGCAGCAUAGAAUACACUUUUAUCUAACUAACAAAUAUAAGAGAACAGCGAAAAUACCAAACGGGAAUAGAAAUGAAUCACCUUUCACGGUUACACUAUAGUAAUAAGUGCUCAUCUAAUCACAAACUCUGCGACUUCAAAAGCAUACUCUAAUAGUACAAGAUAGGUGGCAGCAAAUAACUUUUCUAAUAGGAACUUCAACAAUGGUAAACUGAUCAAGACAGGAGAAUAUAUACAGGGCAUGUAGUUUCUUCCCAAAUCAUCUGACGCAGUUCCGUAGAUCGAUUUUCAAUUUAUAAUUGUAUUUUGUCUACACGAUAAGCACUCAUUGCACCCAUUCACUUCAUAUAUCCAGCCUUAAAUUAUCUAUCCUACACUCCCCUUUGUACUCCCACUGUUUUUGGCUACUCGACCCAAAGUAUUGAAAAUGCUACAUUUCUUGGCAAUCGAUAUUUACGAAAAUACAUCUUUUCUCCCACUCCUAAUACCGCCCUAGAUAUCUUUGGUCUUCGUCCUACUUAAAGCCUCCAGCUUUGUCAUUACUGUUUGAACUUUAGAUUACUGCAUUACAUAAAUCUUUCAAAAGAAAAAAACAAUAACAAUGGCAUAAAAUAGGUCAAAGGAAGCUUCUGCUCCAUCCAUAGUCCAGACCUUGUAAAGCAGUUGUCACAAAGAAAGAUAGGGAAACAUAUUCAUUAGCUAAAGAAAAUUCAAAUUAGUUAAGGGCCCAUUAGACAAAUAAACAGUAAAAAAAAGAGGCACUUAAAGCAUUAUCUUCAAGCAAAAAUUACUUUACAAAAACGAAAGGAGAAUAUGCAUUACCUGGAAGCUUAGGCACAUCAAGCCUCUCGCAGAAAGCAUCACAGAAAUGAUUGCAGUUUCUAGAUAGAAGGUCGUACGAGUUCCCAGGCCAUUCUCUGCUAAGUUCUCUCAAUAUUUGAUUUACCGUGAAAAUGGAACAGCUUGUGUUGCCAAGUACGAUGGACUCACGAAAGGUAUACAUAGGAUUCUCUCUCAGUGGACAACUGAAAACUCCACUACCAUAGUCGCAGUAUCCAAAGGACCAUUCUUCAUCUCCGUAGACCUGCCAAUACAGAUUAACGAGAUAUGUACUAAAAGUAAUUAAACUUGGAAUAUUACUGCAUGGUAAAGUAAAAAACUUCAUAAUUCAUGAACAAUUCAAUAAGGACACCGCUUGAGAACGUAGAUAAUAGAAAUUAACAGUUGAAAGUAUACAGAUUUAAACAGUUUUAGAUGAAUUUUCAACAGCAGUAGUCAAGAUUAUACAGUUGAAUAAGCUACACAGCAUGACAAGAUGAAAAAUAAGUUAAGACAAUACAAAGGCAAAUACAAAACACUGAUAUGAAAGGUCUUCAAUUGUGGCCAUAGCACAAGUAUUCAGCCUUUUUACCAAUGCUGUAUAUACCUUUGUCUGCAUGAGUGUCUUCAGUUGUUUUGCCUUAGUUGAGAAUUGAGAUGUUUCAUGACUCUCUAUGGUUUUUUAGUGUUUUCCCAUAUGGCCAUAUACCACUGUGAAAUCUACGAACAACAGAAUCAACUUCCUCCCACAGAAGACUUGUUAAAUUUGUUAACGCUUCUCUUACCAACUUUUAGAGCCUCUAAAUGCAAUCAUUACAAUCACUUCCAUAGAGAAGUUCAUUUCAUAACUUGUUUCUAGCAAAUUGUUACAAGUUGCAGUAUGAUUAGCUUUCCCAUCAAUGGUCAACCCUGAUAACCAACUUGCAUGCCAACCGAUUUUCUUCUCAACAUUAUCAUUUACUACGUAUCUCCAAAAGAAAAAGGCACAGCGAGUUCUUUCCAUAUAACCUAAUGAUUAGCAGUAGAAAUCAGCAUGAUAAUAGAGUAAAUAAAUGAGAGACAAAUUUGCAAGAACAUACAUCAAGAUUUCCAUGUGACACCCCAAUAGUCCCACGUCACAUGGAGCAGGGAUAAUAAUUGGGUAUGUAAGGACUACGGACUCUACUACUGAUAACUCAGUUUAAACAUUUUGGGCAAGUGGUUUGGGCCUAGCGAGUUAUUAGUGCUACCGAGAUAGGCCGUCACAUUUGAAGGCUAAAAAAAGACCAUACUGGUGCACAAAACUGCUACCGUAGCAGGGUCUAUGGAGGGCAAAAUUCAUGCAGUCUCAUCCCCACUACCGGAAAGGUUGUUGAUGUGGACCAAAUCUGCUUUAGAAGACACUGGAAAACCUUAGCAACACAAGUGUACUGCAUUGAUCUGCAAAUUUCACGAUAAAGUAACAGAAUUUGUACACUGCAUUGAUCUUGGGCUCUACCCAUAACAGCAAACAAAUAUCUCAUUUUCCUCAACCACUAACAAAAUUUCCCAUCACAAUAUGUCCCAAACUUCGACUUUAUUUGCCCUUAAAAACGCACAAAAAGAACUAGGUAUGUAGAAAUCGGCCCCAACUCAUCUCAAAUUUCACUGUACACAAGUGAAAUUUGAUGAAAUUCCCUAUCUGUGGCCCUAUUAAAUCUAUACUAUAUUGAUCUGAAUUCAUUUCAACCAAAAAUCAUACAUUUUUCCAAUUCCAACCACAUAUCCUUCCAAAAAAAUCCAAUUAAUUGCUCUUAAAACACGCAGAAUGAAGCGAGAAUACACCAAUCGGCUCUAACCCAUCACGAAUAUUACGGAAAAAACUGGAAUUUAAUGAAGAGAACCAAUUUUUGGACCUAUUUCGGGACAAUUACUAUACUGCAUUGAUCUGUGUUUCACCAAAACAGCACAACGAAACCCUCAUUUGAACCAAAAAUCGCGUAAUUCUCAUCACAAAGCGUCCCAAAAUUCCACUAAUCGCCCUAAAACAAACGCACAAAUCCGCUACAACCAAUCUCAAAUCGUGCAACAAAAGAACCAAAAAAAAAAAAAAAAAAAAAUUAAAAUNGAUCACGUCGAUCCCAGCUUCAACGUCGGCGCCCCCAUCUCCGCAUGCGCUCCCCAAUACUCCCCUCCGACGACGAACGUCGUCCUCUACCCUCCUCUGGAUUACCCACCGCCGCCGGAGAUUUAUCCUCCUCCUCCUCCUCCUCCUCCUCCCCCCACCCCCCCUCUCUCUCUCUCUCUACACCGCUACUACUCAAUGAUUCGUCUCUCUCUCCCUCUCUAGGUCUUAGGGUUUCCUCUCCGAGGACGAAGAAGAAGAAGAGGGGCUCUCUCUCGCUCUCUGUGUGUGUGUCGAAGAAACCCCAAAACUACGAUACCGUUACGGCGUUACCACGGGGAGUUUGGGGGAGGGCGGAGUUGCGAUUCCGCUCCGCUCCGUUCCGUUCCGUUAUGUUCCAUUGGUGGACUUUUUUCUAAAAUAACCUUUAGAAAAUUUUUAAUUCGCCAAAAAUCCUUUCAAAAUGUUAUUUGGCUAGACAAAAAAUUAAAAAGCUGUGAAUUAUUUCUCAUUUUAAGAUUAUUAGCGUUGCAUAUUGUAUUUGAUUUGUUAGAAUUUUUAUGUAGUCGUUAAAAUUUCACACCGAAAAUAAAAAUUACCGGUGAAUCGUUUAUCACUUUUUUAAAAAAAAAUGACAGUAAAUAAUUUACUGUCUUUCAAAUUUUAUUAAACUCAAACCCUUUAAAAAAUUAAUUACAAAAAAAAAGUAAUUGACGAAUAAGUUUAAAUGAAUUUUCUAGGACCUUAUUGGAAACAUUUUAAUUUCUUUCUCUUAAGAAAGCUCCAAACUAGGGUUGAGUUUAAAAUUUUGUAUAGAUUGCAGAGAUAGUACGUAACACAUGACAAAAAUACAUUUUAAAAGAAUAUUUUAUGUAUUUUUAUAAAUCAUAUAUAUAAUGUAUUCUACAAAUCGUGCUAAUUAGCAAGGCUAGCAAUCCAGCUCAUUGUUUGCGAGCCAGCUCGCAUUUAGCUCCAAAUGAGUUCUACAUCAAUUACUCGUUUAAUAAAUAAGUCGAACACGAAUUAGAGACAGCGGACUUGUGUUUAGCUCGAUAUUAAAAAUUUCUCCUAUUUGGAUUUUAGGUCAACCCAAAUAUAAAGAGACUUUUAUUUUGUGAACUCAAUUAUUAGAUUAAAUUAAAUUUCUAAUUUUCUAAUUCUUUUUCAACUUUUCACCUAGUAGUAUGUUUAAACAAUCUACCUUACUAUUCGCAAGCUAUCGCAUAUUCUGCUCAUUAAUAAACAAGUCGAACAUGAGCUUGAUUUUUUUGCUCGAUAUUUUAAUGCGACGGUUCGUAUUUCGCACAUUUAAUAAACAAGCAAACAUGAGCCUGUGAGACCCCAAAUAGUCCUAUAUAUGAGGUAUAAUAGGGCUACACUCUUAACUCGGCUUAAGUAUUUUGGGUGGUAGCUAGACCCAAGAGGUUAAGAGAGUUAAGUGUGCUAGGACGGGAGUAGUUCUAGGAUGAGUGACCCCCUGAAAAGUCGGGCGUCACAGAGCCUGUUCUAGUCUGCUCGUGUUCGAUUCAUUGACGGCCCUACUGGUUAGGCUAAAAAAUGACAUUUAUAAUCCCACCUAAAAAAAAUAGAAAAAUAUAUUUCUAUGUACUUACGGCUCAAUAAUAUUGGCACGGGUCGGGCUAUAAACCCGAGUAGCAGUGGGCCAAGCUGGGCCUCCUUUUGGGCUUACAUUAAGGAGCCAAUUCUAGGCCCAGUACACCGCUAAAUUUUCGAUGCUAUUUUAGGUCAAUAACUAAUAUAAAAUGACCUUGGUCGGGUCAGGUCGGGUCAGGUCGGGUCGGGUCAAAUGUUGAGAAUAUCGAAUUAGGUCGAGUCAUCCUAAGAAAUCGAAAAUCCAAACUCGCUCUAAAACUCUUAUUGGGUCUCUUUUAGUAUCAACUCAAACUGAUCAGACGAGUCGAAUUUAAUCUGCACUCUUUCGGUGUGUAAUUUUCUAGCACAGUGUGGGUAAACUUCAGUGCAUUCCUUCUAAAUUCAUAAAUAUGACUAAGUGUGCACUGCCACAUUUAUUAUCUUUACUAGUGAAGAGACCCGCGCUUCGCAGCGGACGGAAACUAUAAAAGCUACCAAUAAAAAAUAAAAAGUAUCCAUCAAUAAAAAAAAGAAAAAUAAAACUUAUCACAAAAACAAUUAGAUAUAGAUAUAUAUAUAUAUAAUUUUAAUUUUAAUAAUAAUUAAUAAUAAGGAUGAUGUAAUAAGAAUAGUAAUAAAAGAAUUAUUUUUCAUUCUCAAAGUGAAACAACUAAUUGAAAAUGAUCUUUCUUCGAUACUGAAUAUUAUCGGAAUCUAAUUCAAAACUUGCAAAACAAUAAUUGAUAAAUAAUUUUAGAGAAAAAGAAAAUCAUAUUCAAAUGGAACAACAACUUGUAUUGAGAUGAUUUAAUGGUCUUCAAAUUGACUAUUAAAUCUUGUUCUCCAAAGAAGUAAAAAUUUUUCAUGUAAAAGGAGGCAUUAAGACAGUUCGAAAAACUAAAAAACAAAAAAAAAUCAAAAAACGAAAUAAUUAUUUUAAUAAAAAAUUUCAUAUCAUAAAACAUCUAAAUAAUAUAUAUAUAUACCUGCGCGCUUAUCAUCUUGAACUUUCUUAGUAACUCCAGGCUGUUUAUCGAUAUCAGGAUGGUACUGAAAAAAUAAAAAAUAAAAAUCAAUACAAUUGUGCAAAUCCAACAUGAAAGAAUGUACAGAUUAUAUUAUUAAACAUGCUGAAGAAUUCUAUAGAUAAAUAAAAGUAGAGAAUUGAUUAAUCUGUAUUAAAAAAGGCAAGAUGGUAAAGAAAAUGGCAAUGAAGAAGCAGGAGAAGAAACCACAACUUAUGGUGAAGAGAAAUGGUUGCAUGCCGGAAAAAUAAAUUGUCAUAUGAAAAAGAGAAACGGUCGCAUGGAAAAGAUAACUUUCAUAUGGAAAAGAGAAACGGUCACAUUGGAAAGAUAAAAUAUCAUAUGAAAUUAUGGCGAAGAGAAACGGUUGCAUGGCCGGAAAAAUAAAUUGUCAUAUGGAAAGAGAAAUGGUCGCAUGGAGAAGAUAACUUACAUAUGGGAAAGAGAAACAGUCACAUUGGAAAGAUAAAAUGUCAUAUAAAAUAGAAAAACGGUUGAAGAAAGAGGAGAGGUCGAUUCAAAGAGAGCAAAAGAUAAAAUGUCAUAUGAAAAAGAGAAACGGUUGAAGGAAGAGGACAAGUUGGUUCAAAGAGAGCAAAAAAAUAUAAAAAAUUAAAAAAAAAAAAGAG